Molecule: ribosomal RNA, 794 nt
Filed under: Escherichia coli
Lineage: Bacteria; Pseudomonadati; Pseudomonadota; Gammaproteobacteria; Enterobacterales; Enterobacteriaceae
Description: partial 23S ribosomal RNA
Rfam family: Bacterial large subunit ribosomal RNA
Source: RNAcentral
AUAAUGGGUCAGCGACUUAUAUUCUGUAGCAAGGUUAACCGAAUAGGGGAGCCGAAGGGAAACCGAGUCUUAACUGGGCGUUAAGUUGCAGGGUAUAGACCCGAAACCCGGUGAUCUAGCCAUGGGCAGGUUGAAGGUUGGGUAACACUAACUGGAGGACCGAACCGACUAAUGUUGAAAAAUUAGCGGAUGACUUGUGGCUGGGGGUGAAAGGCCAAUCAAACCGGGAGAUAGCUGGUUCUCCCCGAAAGCUAUUUAGGUAGCGCCUCGUGAAUUCAUCUCCGGGGGUAGAGCACUGUUUCGGCAAGGGGGUCAUCCCGACUUACCAACCCGAUGCAAACUGCGAAUACCGGAGAAUGUUAUCACGGGAGACACACGGCGGGUGCUAACGUCCGUCGUGAAGAGGGAAACAACCCAGACCGCCAGCUAAGGUCCCAAAGUCAUGGUUAAGUGGGAAACGAUGUGGGAAGGCCCAGACAGCCAGGAUGUUGGCUUAGAAGCAGCCAUCAUUUAAAGAAAGCGUAAUAGCUCACUGGUCGAGUCGGCCUGCGCGGAAGAUGUAACGGGGCUAAACCAUGCACCGAAGCUGCGGCAGCGACGCUGAUGCGUUGUUGGGUAGGGGAGCGUUCUGUAAGCCUGUGAAGGUGUGCUGUGAGGCAUGCUGGAGGUAUCAGAAGUGCGAAUGCUGACAUAAGUAACGAUAAAGCGGGUGAAAAGCCCGCUCGCCGGAAGACCAAGGGUUCCUGUCCAACGUUAAUCGGGGCAGGGUGAGUCGACCCCUAAGGCGAGGCCGA